Molecule: long non-coding RNA, 581 nt
Organism: Mastomys coucha (southern multimammate mouse)
Lineage: Eukaryota; Metazoa; Chordata; Mammalia; Rodentia; Muridae
Exons: 3
Source: RefSeq, a predicted model, not a curated record
ACUGCUUUGAGCCCAACCAGCUCCGUCAGUUCCUAAAAUGUCUCCGAUCUGCAGUUAGUUAUUUCAUUUCCUAUAGUCCUUCCUUACGAUGCUUCUGAAACCAGAUUACUUCUGACAGCCACACAGACUGGGACCUCUCUGAGGACAGCAAAUGAGUCUCUCACAGGACCGGUUGUUCGAGAUCAGUUUUUCUCAACCUGUAGUCACAACCCCUUCACAGAGGUCGCCUAAGACCAUUGGAAAACACAGAGUGCAGACCGGAGGAUCUCAGUCAGCCAUGCUGCAAUGUAUGGGCAACACAGGGGUGACACCCAACCCCUUCUUCUGUUGGGCACCCAAUCUGUAUUGUCUCUGAUUUGGUGCAGAAAACAGAACCGAGGAGAAACUAUGCAGCAGCCAGAGUUAGAGCAAAGCCGUAGAGAAGAUGCUAAUUGUGGGAGGUGAUGGAUGUGUUAUUGUCGCCGUGGCAACCAGUACAUAGCAUGUAGUCAGCCCACUGUACGCCCUGGAUAUGUAAAAUUUUUGUCAAAUGAACAUCUCCGAAUAAAAUCCUAUUUUCGUAAAAUGUAAACAAAAAGCAA